CUUUAUGGCAGCUGUGCGUGGGAGAUCUUAGGAUCUGCCGGGUUUCUUGAGGUUUCCGGUUCGCCAACCCGCGCACAGCGGCCACCCGC
This 89-nucleotide non-coding RNA is filed under the name Pseudomonas deceptionensis. Lineage: Bacteria; Pseudomonadati; Pseudomonadota; Gammaproteobacteria; Pseudomonadales; Pseudomonadaceae. The record is from RNAcentral.